RNAcentral lists this ribosomal RNA (460 nucleotides) under uncultured Bacteroidota bacterium. RNAcentral's name for it is "bacterial SSU rRNA". It matches the Rfam family "Bacterial small subunit ribosomal RNA", at positions 338 to 795 of the family's 1533-position model. Lineage: Bacteria; Pseudomonadati; Bacteroidota. The record is from RNAcentral.
CCUACGGGAGGCUGCAGUGAGGAAUAUUGGUCAAUGGGCGCAAGCCUGAACCAGCCAUGCCGCGUGCAGGAAGACGGCCCUACGGGUUGUAAACUGCUUUUCCGGGGGAAGAAUAAGGCCCACGUGUGGGCCGAUGCCGGUACCCCGGGAAUAAGGAUCGGCUAACUCCGUGCCAGCAGCCGCGGUAAUACGGAGGAUCCGAGCGUUAUCCGGAUUUACUGGGUUUAAAGGGUGCGUAGGCGGGCGCUUAAGUCAGCGGUGAAAUGCGGGGGCUCAACCUUCGAACGGCCGUUGAUACUGGGCGCCUUGGAUUCGGUCGAGGCGGGCGGAAUGCGACAUGUAGCGGUGAAAUGCUUAGAUAUGUCGCAGAACGCCGAUUGCGAAGGCAGCUCGCCGGGCCGAUAUUGACGCUGAGGCACGAAAGCGUGGGGAUCGAACAGGAUUAGAUACCCCGGUAGUC